UACGAAGGGGGCUAGCGUUGCUCGGAAUCACUGGGCGUAAAGGGUGCGUAGGCGGGUUUUUAAGUCAGGGGUGAAAUCCUGGAGCUCAACUCCAGAACUGCCUUUGAUACUGAAGAUCUCGAGUCCGGGAGAGGUGAGUGGAACUGCGAGUGUAGAGGUGAAAUUCGUAGAUAUUCGCAAGAACACCAGUGGCGAAGGCGGCUCACUGGCCCGGUACUGACGCUGAGGCACGAAAGCGUGGGGAGCAAACGGG
This 253-nucleotide ribosomal RNA is filed under the name uncultured bacterium. RNAcentral's name for it is "partial 16S ribosomal RNA". It matches the Rfam family "Bacterial small subunit ribosomal RNA", at positions 524 to 776 of the family's 1533-position model. The record is from RNAcentral.